GACGAACGCUGGCGGCGUGCUUAACACAUGCAAGUCGAACGCUGAAGCUCAGCUUUUGUUGGGUGGAUGAGUGGCGAACGGGUGAGUAACACGUGAGUAACCUGCCCCCUUCUUUGGGAUAACGCCCGGAAACGGGUGCUAAUACUGGAUAUUCACUGGUCUUCGCAUGGGGGUUGGUGGAAAGGGUUUUUCUGGUGGGGGAUGGGCUCGCGGCCUAUCAGCUUGUUGGUGGGGUGAUGGCCUACCAAGGCUUUGACGGGUAGCCGGCCUGAGAGGGUGACCGGUCACAUUGGGACUGAGAUACGGCCCAGACUCCUACGGGAGGCAGCAGUGGGGAAUAUUGCACAAUCGGCGCAAGCCUGAUGCAGCGAUGCCGCGUGAGGGAUGGAGGCCUUCGGGUUGUGAACCUCUUUCGCUCAUGGUCAAGCCGCAACAAUGGUUGUGGUGAGGGUAGUGGGUAAAGAAGCGCCGGCUAACUACGUG
RNAcentral lists this ribosomal RNA (483 nucleotides) under uncultured bacterium. Its description in RNAcentral is "partial 16S ribosomal RNA". It matches the Rfam family "Bacterial small subunit ribosomal RNA", at positions 28 to 507 of the family's 1533-position model. The record is from RNAcentral.